UACGUAGGGAGCAAGCGUUGUCCGGAAUCAUUGGGCGUAAAGCGCGCGUAGGCGGCCCGGUAAGUCCGUUGUAAAAGUCGAAGGCUCAACCUUCGAAAGCCGAUGGAUACUGCCGGGCUAGAGUUCGGAAGAGGCGAGUGGAAUUCCCGGUGUAGCGGUGAAAUGCGCAGAUAUCGGGAGGAACACCUAUGGCGAAGGCAGCUCGCUGGGACGUUACUGACGCUGAGGAGCGAAAGCGUGGGGAGCAAACAGG
This 253-nucleotide ribosomal RNA is filed under the name uncultured bacterium. Its description in RNAcentral is "partial 16S ribosomal RNA". It matches the Rfam family "Bacterial small subunit ribosomal RNA", at positions 524 to 776 of the family's 1533-position model. The record is from RNAcentral.